GGGGUGAUAGCUCAGUUGGGAGUAGCGCACGACUGAAGUCUACUUUAGUCCACUGAAAUCGUGAGGUCGCCGGUUCAAUCCCGGCUCGCCCCA
Aspergillus calidoustus is the source of this 93-nucleotide transfer RNA. It matches the Rfam family "tRNA". From Rfam's summary of the family: Transfer RNA (tRNA) molecules are approximately 80 nucleotides in length. Their secondary structure includes four short double-helical elements and three loops (D, anti-codon, and T loops). Further hydrogen bonds mediate the characteristic L-shaped molecular structure. tRNAs have two regions of fundamental functional importance: the anti-codon, which is responsible for specific mRNA codon recognition, and the 3' end, to which the tRNAs corresponding amino acid is attached (by aminoacyl-tRNA synthetases). tRNAs cope with the degeneracy of the genetic code in two manners: having more than one tRNA (with a specific anti-codon) for a particular amino acid; and 'wobble' base-pairing, i.e. permitting non-standard base-pairing at the 3rd anti-codon position. NCBI's taxonomy places the organism in Eukaryota, Fungi, Ascomycota, Eurotiomycetes, Eurotiales, Aspergillaceae. The record is from Rfam.